Electrophorus electricus (electric eel) is the source of this 563-nucleotide long non-coding RNA. RefSeq lists it as uncharacterized. NCBI's taxonomy places the organism in Eukaryota, Metazoa, Chordata, Actinopteri, Gymnotiformes, Gymnotidae. The record is from RefSeq and is a predicted model, not a curated record.
CGACCGGGAAACCACGGAAGCAGGGACGCCAGGAGGGCAGCCCUGAUAACCUACCGUUGUCAGCACAAUGAUCAGCACUCGCCUGCUCUAAGUACAAUAUUUGUAGGUGAUGUAAACCAUCAGAUAGCAAUCUAACUUUCACUCAGUCAAAUGCUGGCAUGCCUCACAUGGUCAUCCUGGAGACGUAGACUCAGCAUGAAUGCACUUAUUCCAGUGUGCGCCAUUCCAGCUGCCCCAGAUCAAGCCCCAGUGGAUGUUGCAAUUUCUUCAGUCCCUGGCGCUCUUCCAAGGUCAUACUGUCAUCUCUUUAUCAGAAAAAGCUUAGAUCACAAUCUCUUGAAGUGAGAUUUGAACUCUGUGGAAGCAAUCAGAGCUGGAGGCACAAUCCCCUAAGCAAUUCACCACCCUUUGACACACUAUCUACCAUUGGUUGGAAUGAGGGGGACUAAAAUGGAACUAGUUGUCUGGGUGAGCUUAUCUCCUUGGCCAUCUUUCUACAUCACAAGUGAUGACAUUCAAGUGUCAAUGCUCACACCUGCCAAACUGGUUCUCCUGAAUGCACG